AAGGUUGAAGUUAGCUCAAAUUUGGAUUUUGAUUCCCUUUUUUGAAAGGUUUUUUCGGUAUUUAUGAUCUCAAAGUAUUUUGGUAUUAAUUUGGUCCAACUCAAAGUGGUUUCAAUUUAAGGCAGCAAAACACGAAUUCAAAACCAAAUCUGAACCUAACUCUACAAGAACGUUCAUUUAUCAAACACCGAUAUUAUAUCAAUCACAGGUUAAAGGUUUUCAAUUUUACAAAUUUGCUAAGAAUUAGUUUGCAAGUUUAAUAAUUAUGCUAAGUCAGUUUUAAAUAUGAAACUUCAUGAGAUAAAUAAAUUGUAGUGAAUACAUUCAAAAUAAACAACCUGAACAAUUUUACUUAAAAGUCAGAGAAUGGAAGUAAUGCAACUACAAUACGGUGGAAGAAUAUUUCAUAUGAAUCACUUUUCGCAAAAACGACGUAAGGUAUUUUAAGAAGCUGAGUGUUGUUUGUGACAAUGGUGAACUUCGUAUUUGUACAAAAAUGACACAAAUCUAUUUAGUCUAUAUGCCAAAAGUAUUAGCACAAUUUGUAAAAUUCUAGAAGCAACAACUUAAGCCUAUUAUCGAUACAUCCUUUGAGAUUCACUGUAGAAAGUAUAAUGAAGAAUGUCGAGUUUAAUAAGUGACAGUAAUCAAAGUGCGAGCAAGGCAACUUUGAAGAAACGAAUUCGGAAGUCUAUAAACGAACUUAUAACUGAAAAUGGAAAAUUUAGGAAAGGACACGUCAAUUGAGUGUAGAUUUACCAGGUCGAAGUAGAUCAUGGAAACGUACCGGCUCUCACUUUAUAUGGACUUUACUAAAUGCCCAAGGAGUCAGGACAAAUACCACAUGCACAUGUGUAACUGGUUGCCUAAACGCUUUAUAAGUAUUCUAUUAAAAAAUAAAACUAAUUAAUUACAAUAAGAACAAAUAAAUUUAUCCCGCUUUAACAUCCCCGUAAAUGUUGAAAAUAUUCAUCAUUUUGUUCAAAGCACAUGUUCACUCUCUUUUUAAUUUCAAAAAUGUUCUGUAACAUCCUUUGGUCGAUGCUUUGGACCCAUUGUUCAAGUUUAUGUUGCAGCAGGAACUCCUGACUAUUGAGGAAAUCUUGAAAGAUGUUUGCGGAUUCUGCUCAAGUCGUUUCAAAUCAUCAACAACUUUCUCAGAUACUGAAGGUCUUCCAAGAGAUUUCGCUUACAAAUGACAUUAAUGACAAGUGAGAAUUGUCAUAAUAAUGAGGCAUAAAUACACAAUAUGUUAAAACAAGCACCUUGCUCAUAGUGAAGCAAUGACAGAUAAUGACAACGGCUUAAAUAAAAAGUAUCGAACUGUUUUCCCAGAAUUGAGAACAAGACUUUAGUACAAAGCAUUACGGACAUAUAUAUUUGUGCAUUUUCUAAUCAAGAUUUUGUAACUCUUUUCAAUUUGUUAAAACAUCACUAAGGAAGUAGCACAGUAAGGUCUUAGAAACUUUUUGAAGUGAAAUCCAGUUCUGAUACGAUAAACGAAGCUAUUGUUGAUCAGCCAAAAGCUCACAUAAAACUUUUAUCAUUUCAAAGGCACCAUUUUCAGAUAAACAGAUAAAAUUCGCAGAAAAGACUUAAAGAACAUUGCAAGCGUAACCUUGUAAAAAUAUAUAAAUAAAUGUUCAUUAACUGUUAUGGAAUUUGGAAUAAACAGAAUACUUGGACAAUAACACCUAACAUAAAAAUAGAACCCGAGGAGCGUAUUUACAAACAGCAAAUUUAAUUAGAUGGAAUCUAAUCUUCAAGUCUGCAGUAAAGUUAAAAUUUUUGUUCUGUUCGGUUUGUGAUCUACUGGGUUUGCAUUGUAGAAUAAUACUCCUAUAUUUUUUUUAAACAAAUAUUUGUGUGUACUCAAAACUGGCAGAAAAAAUCAAGAGCUCUAUUGCUGGACCACCGACUAAGUGAAGACUUACCACAGAGAUGCUGUAAAUUAGAUCUUGGUUCAUGGACUCAAAAUGAAGAUAAUGAAGAAAACCAACAACGCCAAAGAAGAUACGUCAGCGAGUUGUUUCCGCCCAGAGGAGAAGUUAUAAACGACAAUUUGAAAUACCUGGAUCGUGAUUUCGUUUCUGUGCCUUUUUACCGAAUACAGAAAGUUUUUGUGUAUAGAAGACGCCUUCACAAAGAAGAAUAACUAUUGGUCGUGUGAAUUUGAGACCAAUAUGUCGAUUUAAAUAACUUAAUUUAUUUAUGUACAGUAUGAAUAAAUUUAUUUUUUUACUGUGA
Molecule: long non-coding RNA, 2247 nt
Organism: Zophobas morio
Lineage: Eukaryota; Metazoa; Arthropoda; Insecta; Coleoptera; Tenebrionidae
Exons: 8
Source: RefSeq, a predicted model, not a curated record